CCUACGGGCGGCAGCAGUAGGGAAUCUUCCGCAAUGGACGCAAGUCUGACGGAGCAACGCCGCGUGAGUGAAGAAGGUUUUCGGAUCGUAAAACUCUGUUGUUAGAGAAGAACAAGUGCUAGAGUAACUGUUAGCGCCUUGACGGUAUCUAACCAGAAAGCCACGGCUACCUAGGUGCCAGCAGCCGCGGUAAUACGUAGGUGGCAAACGUGGUCCGGAUUUAUUGGGAGUAAAGCGAGCGCAGGCGGUUCCUUAAGUCUGAUGUGAAAGCCCCCGGCUCAACCGGGGAGAGUCAUUGGAAACUGGGGAACUUGAGUGCAGAAGAGGAGAGUGGAAUUCCAUGUGUAGCGGUGAAAUGCGUAGAUAUAUGGAGGAACACCAGUGGCGAAGGCGACUCUCUGGUCUGUAACUGACGCUGAGGCUCGAAAGCGUGGGUAGCAAACAGGAUUAGAUACCCGUGUAGUC
Molecule: ribosomal RNA, 465 nt
Filed under: uncultured Granulicatella sp.
Lineage: Bacteria; Bacillati; Bacillota; Bacilli; Lactobacillales; Carnobacteriaceae
Description: bacterial SSU rRNA
Rfam family: Bacterial small subunit ribosomal RNA
Source: RNAcentral